This is a long non-coding RNA of Pantherophis guttatus, 493 nucleotides long. RefSeq lists it as uncharacterized. Lineage: Eukaryota; Metazoa; Chordata; Lepidosauria; Squamata; Colubridae. The record is from RefSeq and is a predicted model, not a curated record.
CUAGGGUGAAGCGCGCGUGCGGCUGUAGAGGCCUGGUUGGAAAGGCUCAAAUCCAACGACGUAGAAGAUGUGUGUAAGCGAGCGCUUCUUCGUACUUCUGCAAACAUUGUGAUUCCCACCCGUCUUGUAUUUCAUGGAUCUCCAGGCCACUUUGCAAACCUCUUCAAAUAAAGAACUCGGGCUCUGCGCAUGUGCACACUGGGAACAGGCUCCCACUGUUCUUCUGGCUCGCUGCUGUCAGACUCCAGAGGCUGCACAUAACUAUCAGAUGGCCUUGGCUCCCUCUCAGCCUCCAAUGCAGAACCCUCGUCCGAGUUUUCUCCAGACCCCAGGACUGGCCCAAGUUCUUCCCCAACGUCCUCACUGUCCAAUUCAGCUGCCAGCUCCGCUGGCCGCCGGCGGGCCACAACACAAAGAAGGAGUGUUAUGCAUGUUUGCCAUCUUGAGUUAUAAUAAAAGUGGAAUAAAAAGCUAAUAAAUAAUUUCAUACAAA